RNAcentral lists this ribosomal RNA (468 nucleotides) under uncultured bacterium. Its description in RNAcentral is "partial 16S ribosomal RNA". It matches the Rfam family "Bacterial small subunit ribosomal RNA", at positions 28 to 507 of the family's 1533-position model. The record is from RNAcentral.
GACGAACGCUGGCGGCGUGCUUAACACAUGCAAGUCGAACGGAAAGGCCCUGCUUUUGUGGGGUGCUCGAGUGGCGAACGGGUGAGUAACACGUGAGUAACCUGCCCUUGACUUUGGGAUAACUUCAGGAAACUGGGGCUAAUACCGGAUAGGAGCUCCUGCUGCAUGGUGGGGGUUGGAAAGUUUCGGCGGUUGGGGAUGGACUCGCGGCUUAUCAGCUUGUUGGUGGGGUAGUGGCUUACCAAGGCUUUGACGGGUAGCCGACCUGAGAGGGUGACCGGCCACAUUGGGACUGAGAUACGGCCCAGACUCCUACGGGAGGCAGCAGUGGGGAAUAUUGCACAAUGGGCGGAAGCCUGAUGCAGCAACGCCGCGUGCGGGAUGACGGCCUUCGGGUUGUAAACCGCUUUCGCCUGUGACGAAGCGUGAGUGGCGGUAAUGGGUAAAGAAGCACCGGCUAACUACGUG